GACGAACGCUGGCGGCGUGCCUAAUACAUGCAAGUAGAACGCUGAAGGAGGAGCUCGCUUCUCUGGAUGAGUUGCGAACGGGUGAGUAACGCGUAGGUAACCUGCCUGGUAGCGGGGGAUAACUAUUGGAAACGAUAGCUAAUACCGCAUAAUAGUAGAUGUUGCAUGACAUUUGCUUAAAAGGUGCAAUUGCAUCACUACCAGAUGGACCUGCGUUGUAUUAGCUAGUUGGUGGGGUAACGGCUCACCAAGGCGACGAUACAUAGCCGACCUGAGAGGGUGAUCGGCCACACUGGGACUGAGACACGGCCCAGACUCCUACGGGAGGCAGCAGUAGGGAAUCUUCGGCAAUGGACGGAAGUCUGACCGAGCAACGCCGCGUGAGUGAAGAAGGUUUUCGGAUCGUAAAGCUCUGUUGUAAGAGAAGAACGAGUGUGAGAGUGGAAAGUUCACACUGUGACGGUAUCUUACCAGAAAGGGACGGCUAACUACGUG
RNAcentral lists this ribosomal RNA (495 nucleotides) under uncultured bacterium. RNAcentral describes it as "partial 16S ribosomal RNA". It matches the Rfam family "Bacterial small subunit ribosomal RNA", at positions 28 to 507 of the family's 1533-position model. The record is from RNAcentral.